RNAcentral lists this ribosomal RNA (2579 nucleotides) under Xanthomonas euvesicatoria. RNAcentral describes it as "bacterial LSU rRNA". It matches the Rfam family "Bacterial large subunit ribosomal RNA", at positions 1 to 2619 of the family's 2925-position model. Lineage: Bacteria; Pseudomonadati; Pseudomonadota; Gammaproteobacteria; Lysobacterales; Lysobacteraceae. The record is from RNAcentral.
GUUAUAUGGUCAAGCGAAUAAGCGCACACGGUGGAUGCCUAGGCGGUCAGAGGCGAUGAAGGACGUGGUAGCCUGCGAAAAGUGUCGGGGAGCUGGCAACAAGCUUUGAUCCGGCAAUAUCCGAAUGGGGAAACCCACUGCUUCGGCAGUAUCCUGCAGUGAAUUCAUAGCUGCUGGAAGCGAACCCGGUGAACUGAAAUAUCUAAGUAACCGGAGGAAAAGAAAUCAACCGAGAUUCCCUAAGUAGUGACGAGCGAACGGGGAGCAGCCCUUAAGCUGGAAUGGCUUUAGAAAAACAAUCUGGAAAGAUUGGCCAUAGAAGGUGAUAGCCCUGUAUUUAAAAGGGCCACUCCAGUGAAGACGAGUAGGGCGGGGCACGUGAAACCCUGUCUGAAUAUGGGGGGACCAUCCUCCAAGGCUAAAUACUCCUGACCGACCGAUAGUGAACCAGUACCGUGAGGGAAAGGCGAAAAGAACCCCGGAGAGGGGAGUGAAAUAGAUCCUGAAACCGUGUGCGUACAAGCAGUAGGAGCUCGCAAGAGUGACUGCGUACCUUUUGUAUAAUGGGUCAGCGACUUACUGUUCGUGGCAAGCUUAACCGUAUAGGGGAGGCGAAGGGAAACCGAGUCUGAUAAGGGCGCAUAGUCGCGGGCAGUAGACCCGAAACCGGGUGAUCUAGUCAUGGCCAGGGUGAAGGUGCCGUAACAGGUACUGGAGGCCCGAACCCACGUCUGUUGCAAAAGACGGGGAUGAGCUGUGAUUAGGAGUGAAAAGCUAAUCGAACCCGGAGAUAGCUGGUUCUCCUCGAAAGCUAUUUAGGUAGCGCCUCAUAUGUAUCCUCUCGGGGGUAGAGCACUGUUAUGGCUAGGGGGUCAUCGCGACUUACCAAACCAUUGCAAACUCCGAAUACCGAGACGGACUGUAUGGGAGACACACGGCGGGUGCUAACGUCCGUCGUGAAAAGGGAAACAACCCAGACCCACAGCUAAGGUCCCAAAUUCACUGCUAAGUGGAAAACGAUGUGGAAAGGCAUAGACAGCCAGGAGGUUGGCUUAGAAGCAGCCACCCUUUAAAGAAAGCGUAAUAGCUCACUGGUCGAGUCGGUCUGCGCGGAAGAUUUAACGGGGCUAAGCAGUGAACCGAAGCUUGGGGUGCAUAAAACUUGUUUUAUGCGCGGUAGAGGAGCGUUCCGUAAGCCUGCGAAGGUGGAUUGAGAAGUCUGCUGGAGGUAUCGGAAGUGCGAAUGCUGACAUGAGUAACGAUAAUGCGGGUGAAAAGCCCGCACGCCGAAAGCCCAAGGUUUCCUUGCGCAACGUUAAUCGACGCAGGGUUAGUCGGUCCCUAAGGCGAGGGCGAAAGCCGUAGUCGAUGGGAAGCAGGUUAAUAUUCCUGCACCUCGCGUGAGUGCGAUGGAGGGACGGAGAAGGUUAGGUGUACCGGGCGUUGGUUGUCCCGGGGAAAGGCGGUAGGUUUGGAUCUUUGGCAAAUCCGGGAUCCUUUAAGACCGAGCACCGAGACGAGCCUUUAUGGCGAAGUCACUGAUACCACGCUUCCAGGAAAAGCUCCUAAGCUUCAGCUCACGAAGACCGUACCGUAAACCGACACAGGUGGGUAGGAUGAGAAUUCUCAGGCGCUUGAGAGAACUCGGGUGAAGGAACUAGGCAACAUGGCACCGUAACUUCGGGAGAAGGUGCACCCUUUUUGGUGGCUCGUGCGAGCUAUAGCUGAAGAGGGUCGCAGAAACCAGGCCGCUGCGACUGUUUAUCAAAAACACAGCACUCUGCAAACACGAAAGUGGACGUAUAGGGUGUGACGCCUGCCCGGUGCUGGAAGGUUAAUUGAUGGGGUCAGCCGCAAGGCGAAGCUCUUGAUCGAAGCCCCAGUAAACGGCGGCCGUAACUAUAACGGUCCUAAGGUAGCGAAAUUCCUUGUCGGGUAAGUUCCGACCUGCACGAAUGGCGUAACGACAGCGGCGCUGUCUCCACCCGAGACUCAGUGAAAUUGAAAUCGCUGUGAAGAUGCAGCGUUCCCGUGGCAAGACGGAAAGACCCCGUGAACCUUUACUAUAGCUUUACACUGAACGUUGAGUUCGUCUGUGUAGGAUAGGUGGGAGGCUAUGAAACUGUGGCGCUAGCUGCAGUGGAGCCAUCCUUGAAAUACCACCCUGUCGUGCUUGACGUUCUAACCUAGGUCCGUUAUCCGGAUCAGGGACCGUGUAUGGUGGGUAGUUUGACUGGGGCGGUCUCCUCCUAAAGAGUAACGGAGGAGCACGAAGGUACGCUCAGCGCGGUCGGACAUCGCGCACUGUGUGCAAAGGCAUAAGCGUGCUUGACUGCAAGAUCGACGGAUCAAGCAGGUACGAAAGUAGGUCUUAGUGAUCCGGUGGUUCUGUAUGGAAGGGCCAUCGCUCAACGGAUAAAAGGUACUCCGGGGAUAACAGGCUGAUACCGCCCAAGAGUUCAUAUCGACGGCGGUGUUUGGCACCUCGAUGUCGGCUCAUCACAUCCUGGGGCUGUAGUCGGUCCCAAGGGUAUGGCUGUUCGCCAUUUAAAGUGGUACGCGAGCUGGGUUCAGAACGU